UGAGGAACACGCAAGGUUAUCUGCCACUGCACUUCAAUGUGAGUCUAGUGUUUCACUGGAAAACGUCUUUAUGGAUCAUCAGUAUACUUAGUUCCGAGCCCUCAGCAUCUCUGUGCCACCUGAACAGCAGCACCACCUAUCAGAUACUAG
This is a long non-coding RNA of Paramormyrops kingsleyae, 150 nucleotides long. RefSeq lists it as uncharacterized. Lineage: Eukaryota; Metazoa; Chordata; Actinopteri; Osteoglossiformes; Mormyridae. The record is from RefSeq and is a predicted model, not a curated record.